RNAcentral lists this ribosomal RNA (470 nucleotides) under Saccostrea sp. BER. Its description in RNAcentral is "partial 16S ribosomal RNA". It matches the Rfam family "Bacterial large subunit ribosomal RNA", at positions 1810 to 2572 of the family's 2925-position model. Lineage: Eukaryota; Metazoa; Mollusca; Bivalvia; Ostreida; Ostreidae. The record is from RNAcentral.
AAAACAUCACUAGGAGAAGUUCACUCUUAGCAGUGCCUGCCCAGUGCAAAAUUGUAAACGGCCGCCCUAGCGUGAGGGUGCCAAGGUAGCGAAAUUCCUUGCCUUUUAAUUGUAGGCCUGCAUGAAUGGAUUGACGAGGGUCAAGCUGUCUCUUGCCUUGAAURACGAAAUUGGACUAAAGGUGAAGAUACCUUUAUAGAAAAGUUAGACAAGAAGACCCCGUGCAGCUUUAAAAAAUUUACUUAUUAAGAGUUGUAAGAUUUUUAGGUGGGGCGCCUAGGAAGUAAAAYUUAACCUUCUUAUUUGUUAAGAAAGGCUCUCWGGCRUAGACCCGGCAAGUCCGAUCAUGGGAGAAGUUACGCCGGGGAUAACAGGCUUAUCCAUUAGUAGAGCUCGUAUUGGCUAAUGGGAUUGGCACCUCGAUGUUGAAUUAAGGAUGAUAGCUCUAAGGCGUAGAAGCUUAGAAGUGG